UGGCGUAUACAAAGAGAAGCGACCUCGCGAGAGCAAGCGGAACUCAUAAAGUACGUCGUAGUCCGGAUUGGAGUCUGCAACUCGACUCCAUGAAGUCGGAAUCGCUAGUAAUUGUAGAUCAGAAUGCUACGGUGAAUACGUUCCCGGGCCUUGUACACACCGCCCGUCACACCAUGGGAGUGGGUUGCAAAAGAAGUAGGUAGCUUAACCUUCGGGAGGGCGCUUACCACUUUGUGAUUCAUGACUGGGGUGAAGUCGUAACAAGGUAACCA
RNAcentral lists this ribosomal RNA (272 nucleotides) under uncultured Providencia sp. Its description in RNAcentral is "partial 16S ribosomal RNA". It matches the Rfam family "Bacterial small subunit ribosomal RNA", at positions 1231 to 1502 of the family's 1533-position model. Lineage: Bacteria; Pseudomonadati; Pseudomonadota; Gammaproteobacteria; Enterobacterales; Morganellaceae. The record is from RNAcentral.